AGCGAACGCUGGCGGCAGGCCUAACACAUGCAAGUCGAGCGCCCAGCAAUGGGAGCGGCAGACGGGAUAGUAACACGUGGGAACGUACCCUUCAGUUCGGAACAACCCAGGGAAACUUGGGCUAAUACCGAAUACGUCCGUAAGGAGAAAGAUUUAUCGCUGAAGGAUCGGCCCGCGUCUGAUUAGCUAGUUGGCGAGGUAAUGGCUCACCGAGGCGACGAUCAGUAGCUGGUCUGAGAGGAUGAUCAGCAUCACUGGGACUGAGACACGGCCCAGACUCCUACGGGAGGCAGCAGUGGGGAAUAUUGGAAAAUGGGCGCAAGCCUGAUCCAGCCAUGCCGCGUGGAUGAUGAAGGCCCUAGGGUUGUAAAGUCCUUUCGGCGGGGAAGAUAAUGACGGUACCCGCAGAAGAAGCCCCGGCUAACUUCGUGCCAGCAGCCGCCGUAA
RNAcentral lists this ribosomal RNA (447 nucleotides) under uncultured bacterium. RNAcentral's name for it is "partial 16S ribosomal RNA". It matches the Rfam family "Bacterial small subunit ribosomal RNA", at positions 29 to 523 of the family's 1533-position model. The record is from RNAcentral.